GAACCUGCGGAGGGAUCAUUACACAACAAAAUAUGAAGGCCUGGCUUUCGCGGCCGGCUGAAGUAUUUUUUUCACCCAUGUCUUUUGCGCACUUGUUGUUUCCUGGGCGGGUUCGCCCGCCACCAGGACCGAACCAUAAACCUUUUUUUCUUAUGCAGUUUCCAUCAGCGUCAGUAAAAACAAUGUAAUUAUUACAACUUUCAACAACGGAUCUCUUGGUUCUGGCAUCGAUGAAGAACGCAGCGAAAUGCGAUACGUAGUGUGAAUUGCAGAAUUCAGUGAAUCAUCGAAUCUUUGAACGCACAUUGCGCCCUUUGGUAUUCCAAAGGGCAUGCCUGUUCGAGCGUCAUUUGUACCUUCAAGCUUUGCUUGGUGUUGGGCGUUUUUUUGUCUCCCUCUUUCUGGGAGACUCGCCUUAAAACGAUUGGCAGCCGGCCUACUGGUUUCGGAGCGCAGCACAUUUUUUGCGCUUUGUAUCAGGAGAAAAGGACGGUACUCCAUCAAGACUCUACAUUUUUCACUUUUGACCUCGGAUCAGGUAGGGAUACCCGCUGAACUUAAGCAUAUCAAUA
RNAcentral lists this ribosomal RNA (572 nucleotides) under Bipolaris oryzae. RNAcentral's name for it is "eukaryotic LSU rRNA". The stretch from base 196 to 349 matches the Rfam family "5.8S ribosomal RNA". Lineage: Eukaryota; Fungi; Ascomycota; Dothideomycetes; Pleosporales; Pleosporaceae. The record is from RNAcentral.